UCACAAAUUGCCUUAUUAAGCGACGCAAUAGACCUGUUAUUUGCAUCACAUAUUACAGAUGCGCGAUGCAGUAAUAUCUUUUCUUUUUCUUUUUAUUUUUCCUUUUCUUUUUCUAAUUUUUUUUGGUGCAACACCGUCAUUCUUAUGACCUAAAAUGCUAAGCCCUUUUCCGUCUCCCCUCUACCCCCUUUCUCUUGCAUAUUCUCUUUCCCAGAUCUUCAUUGUUGAAAAUCCAAAACCUCUGUCUCUCCUUAAAAAAAAUUAAGUAUUGAGCUUGCCCUUCAAAGCCUUCUUUCACCAUACCAUCCCAAUCUCUCCAUUUUCUUUGAAAACUCAAGCUAUGCUGAUUUGGUAUUCAGAGGCAAAACCCUAGGUUCCAGCGGAGCGACGAAGAAUAGCAUAAUUUGAGGAGCUGAUUCUAUCUCCUCUCCUCGCUCUUCCUUUGACUUGUUCAAAUUUCUGAUUUCUGGAGGCUAAAGUUUGACGAUUCUUGGAAAAAUCAAAGAAAAAAACAUGCAUAUAAGAUAAUGAUGAGGAUGAUGCAGCAAAGGCUUGCGAAGGAAAAAUCACUUUGAUGAAGAAGCAAAAAUUUCGUCACUUAAGAUCUGGCAACAAUGAAAUUUUGCAGCCUCCCAAGAAAAUUCGUUGACAGGGCACUGACGUGUCUCUGAAGGAUCUUGACUACCUUUUGUCUCUACUUGAGGAAAAGAAGAGAAAGAUGGCCGGAGCAAGAAGAAGCUAGGGUUUGAAGCCAGUAAACUCGCUAAGAAUACAAGGAAAUGGUUAAGAUUGAAGCCAGUAAACUCGCUAAGAAGCAUCCACGUGUCUUGCAGAUGGAAUGAGCUACUAGGACGGUGGUUGACUGGUACUUUCAUUCCGGCAGAAAUAUUAAAAGUACAAGAGGUUGUGUCAAUGAGAUCAAUCAGUAUAUUUCGCAACAUAAUCAGCUUUUGUUGGAUCACAUAACUGACCUUUGGAGCUCUCUGAUGCCCAGUUUGUGUUCUGUGAUGUUUACCAAGGCUUCAUGCGUAUCUUGUCCAACCCUAAACACUAUGGCAUCAAGGAAACAAGAGGAGCAUGUUGUGGAAUAGGGUGGCAUGGAGCAGCAUCGGGGUGCGACACCAUGGAGAUGGUUUGCAACCAAAGUACAGCUCAUGUAAUCCUUCUAAGGCCGUCAAUUAUCUGCUGGUCGACUCUGCCUGGUUCGGUCAUCCAUUGGGUGACAUCUUUCAUCCCUUGAGCGUCCGAGCACUGGUGAACAUAGCUUCAGCAGCAGCAGCAGCAGCAGGUGUUCUGGCAACAACAGUUAUCGAUUACAAGCUAGAAGCAGCAGCAGCAGUUCUGGCAGAAGUAGAAAGCAGCAAUUCUGGCAGCAGCCAGUUGAAACAAGAACAAAACCAAGCCAGCCUAAAGAGUGUUUAUUUUCACCAGUUGCUGGACUUUCUUGAAGUUCUCUGCCUUAACUGUGACUAUCACCGUUGGUAAUGCAUCCCAUCUUUGUAUUGAAAGUCAUAUCUUGAUUUGUCAUAGAUUUGAUUUCUAACAUCUUCCAUUUUUAUAUCCAGGAUAGAGAUAUUUACUUAAACUUUUAUGUUUAAAGUGUAGUUAGGUUAUCAACAUGUUGGUUGAUCUAUGGUGAAUUUGCCUUUUAUUGGGUUGUAAACUGUUUUGACAGGUAUAUAUUAAUGUAUUAUAACAUUCCCGGUAUUGGGGAGGGUCAAAUUACAAAGGAAAUAUUGUCAAAAUUUUCACCUAGUUUACUUUUAUUUUUAUGCUCUGAAUAUACUAGUACUGAAAGCUGCUUAUUUUAUUUAAUCUAUGGAUUAAAUAAAAUCAGCAGCUCAUUUUUUUUAGAAUAUCCAAAAGUCAUUUGCGUCGCACUUUAGCUAAUCUGCGACGCAAAUGACAUUUUUUUUAACAUAUUGA
This is an RNA transcript of Spinacia oleracea (spinach), 1926 nucleotides long. RefSeq lists it as uncharacterized. NCBI's taxonomy places the organism in Eukaryota, Viridiplantae, Streptophyta, Magnoliopsida, Caryophyllales, Amaranthaceae. The record is from RefSeq and is a predicted model, not a curated record. The transcript is spliced from 4 exons.